AAUCAACGCUGGCGGCGUGCCUCAGACAUGCAAGUCGAACGAUUAAAGCUCUCUUCGGAGAGUGCAUAGAGUGGCGCACGGGUGAGUAACACGUAAGUAAUCUACCUUCGAGUGGGGAAUAACGUCCGGAAACGGACGCUAAUACCGCAUAAUGCAGCGGCAUCGCAAGAUGACAGUUGUUAAAGGAGCAAUUCGCUUGAAGAGGAGCUUGCGGCAGAUUAGCUAGUUGGUAAGGUAAUGGCUUACCAAGGCUACGAUCUGUAACCGGUCUAAGAGGACGGUCGGUCACACUGACACUGAAUAACGGGUCAGACUCCUACGGGA
This 324-nucleotide ribosomal RNA is filed under the name uncultured bacterium. RNAcentral describes it as "bacterial SSU rRNA". It matches the Rfam family "Bacterial small subunit ribosomal RNA", at positions 32 to 346 of the family's 1533-position model. The record is from RNAcentral.